GAGGUUUUGAACUUAAAUCCUUUGGUGGGGAGCUUGUUUAAGGGCUACUUGGAUGUAUGGUUUGCCAAGGUACUCACAAGCCUAUGCUGAUGAGGUGGACAAAUUUAUUACAAUCGCAGUGAAUCAUGCAAAGACGUUGUCAACAGGAAAUAAUUGUUCAGUUAUUUGUCCCUGUAAAGAUUGCAAGAACCACUUAGCAACUUAUGAUGUGGAAAUCAUCAGAUCACAUCUGAUUAGGCGAGGAUUUGUCCCGAACUACACAGUAUGGCUUCAUCAUGGUGAAGUAAUGUUUCUUGAUGGCAACGAUGAUGACCAAGAAGACGAUGUUGAAGAAGGC
Sorghum bicolor (sorghum) is the source of this 337-nucleotide long non-coding RNA. RefSeq lists it as uncharacterized. The transcript is spliced from 2 exons. The record is from RefSeq and is a predicted model, not a curated record. Lineage: Eukaryota; Viridiplantae; Streptophyta; Magnoliopsida; Poales; Poaceae.